This 856-nucleotide long non-coding RNA is filed under the name Rattus norvegicus (Norway rat). RNAcentral describes it as "long non-coding RNA NONRATT022723". Lineage: Eukaryota; Metazoa; Chordata; Mammalia; Rodentia; Muridae. The record is from RNAcentral.
CAGGGCUUUCCUUGCCAGUGGAUUGUGUAGAGUGUACAGCCAGUCUCUUGUCUUCUGUCCAACAUGGCAUCUUCUGAUAUUCAGGUGAAAGAGCUGGAGAAGCGUGCUUCCGGCCAGGCUUUUGAGCUGAUUCUCAGCCCUCGAUCAAAAGAAUCUGUCCCCGAGUUCCCCCUUUCCCCCCCAAAGAAGAAGGAUCUUUCCCUGGAGGAAAUUCAGAAGAAAUUAGAAGCUGCAGAAGAAAGACGCAAGGUAACCCAGACGAUUUACAGGAGAUACAGGAAACUUAUUAAUGUAAUGAGGCAAACUGGUUUCAUUUUCAUACAAAGGAAGAAGGGAUUGUAGCUCACUGUGAUCUGAAGUGGGAAAUGUCCUUGUGCCAGAGGUUCAGAGGAAGCAGCGGCCAUAGUUUAAUGAGCUCCUCUCGGGCCAGCUCCUUAACUCAGGAGCUUUCUCUAAAAGGAGGCUCCGUGGGGGGCAUUGUCUCAGGUAACAGACUCGAAAAUUGUAUUAUUAAGGCAUUUUCCUGUUAGUAAGUACUGGAGGCAGAAUUUAAGCUAAGACCUGUCUUAUAUCAAAGCUCAUGCUUUUCUCUUUAAAAAAAUAGGACAUUUGUUGGCAGGUAAUUCUUUGUUUUCUUAGUUUUGCUUUUUUAAAGAGCUAUGCAAUAAAAACUAAAUUUUCAGGGAUGUGGUAUUGUAGCUUUUUCUCCUUCCAAACACUUCUAUUAUAAAGUAACCAUCAUUGAAGCCCAAUGAGGCCUGGAGGGGUAGCUCAGCAGUUAGGAGCUGACUGCUUUUCCAGAGGAUCCAUGUUCGAUCGCCAGCAACCACACAGUAGCUCACAAACAUUCAGCUCC